CAGCAGCCGCGGGAAUACGUAGGUCCCGAGCGUUGUCCGGAUUUAUUGGGCGUAAAGCGAGCGCAGGCGGUUAGAUAAGUCUGAAGCUAAAGGCUGUGGCUUAACCAUAGUACGCUUUGGAAACUGUUUAACUUGAGUGCAAGAGGGGAGAGUGGAAUUCCAUGUGUAGCGGUGAAAUGCGUAGAUAUAUGGAGGAACACCAGUGGCGAAGGCGACUCUCUGGUCUGUAACUGACGCUGAGGAGCGAAAGCGUGGGGAGCAAACAGGAUUAGAUACCCAGUAGUCCCUGUCUCUUAUACAC
Molecule: ribosomal RNA, 301 nt
Filed under: uncultured bacterium
Lineage: Bacteria
Description: partial 16S ribosomal RNA
Rfam family: Bacterial small subunit ribosomal RNA
Source: RNAcentral